GGCAGAAUGGCUGAGCCUAAGCAAUAAAUUGUAAAUUUAUUUACGAAUAAUAAUUCUUCUGCCA
RNAcentral lists this transfer RNA (64 nucleotides) under Proegmena sp. BMNH 846583. RNAcentral's name for it is "tRNA-Tyr". Lineage: Eukaryota; Metazoa; Arthropoda; Insecta; Coleoptera; Chrysomelidae. The record is from RNAcentral.